UGCUCACACAAAGCCUGGUUAGGUGGUCUC
RNAcentral lists this non-coding RNA (30 nucleotides) under Homo sapiens (human). The record is from RNAcentral. Lineage: Eukaryota; Metazoa; Chordata; Mammalia; Primates; Hominidae.